RNAcentral lists this ribosomal RNA (253 nucleotides) under uncultured bacterium. RNAcentral's name for it is "partial 16S ribosomal RNA". It matches the Rfam family "Bacterial small subunit ribosomal RNA", at positions 524 to 776 of the family's 1533-position model. The record is from RNAcentral.
UACGUAGGUGGCAAGCGUUGUCCGGAAUUACUGGGUGUAAAGGGAGCGUAGGCGGGUUGUCAAGUUGGGUGUGAAAUGCAUAGGCUUAACCUAUGAGCUGCAUCCAAAACUGGCAGUCUUGAGUGAUGUAGAGGCAGGCGGAAUUCCUAGUGUAGCGGUGAAAUGCGUAGAUAUUAGGAGGAACACCAGUGGCGAAGGCGGCCUGCUGGGCAUUAACUGACGCUGAGGCUCGAAAGCGUGGGGAGCAAACAGG